Long non-coding RNA from Ictalurus punctatus (channel catfish), 410 nucleotides. The record is from Ensembl. Lineage: Eukaryota; Metazoa; Chordata; Actinopteri; Siluriformes; Ictaluridae.
AGAACUGUCACCCCGGGAAAACACAUGUGUAGGACAGUGUGUAUAGGCCUACAAGACAUCGCCCGGAAAAUGUGUCUUCUAGUUUAAACAAAACUCUCGAUUCUUUUAAGCAACACUUUAAACAUUUUACAUCCUAAAGGGUUAGGUUUAGAAGACAUGUAAUACGUGCGUUUCUUAUAAAACACCGUCUUUAAAACGUUUACCUCCUAAAGGGACCUAUAUAGAAGAUUGUUAGAGGACCUGUAGACUGAACAAAUACUAAGGACAUUACAAUAGUGUUAGAAAGACCAUGUGUACAACGUGUGUGGGGUGGAAAACAUAUGGCCGUACCAGGUAUGGUAACGUUUGUGUCACGAAUGGAUGUGAUCCAGAUUUAACAUAACUAUAUAUAUUUUUAUGACCUACCACAG